UACGUAGGGUGCAAGCGUUUGUCCGGAAUUAUUGGGCGUAAAGAGCUCGUAGGCGGUCUGUCGCGUCGGCUGUGAAAACUCGGGGCUCAACUCCGAGCUUGCAGUCGAUACGGGCAGGCUAGAGUUCGGCAGGGGAGAACGGAAUUCCUGGUGUAGCGGUGAAAUGCGCAGAUAUCAGGAGGAACACCGGUGGCGAAGGCGGUUCUCUGGGCAUUGACCUGACGCUGGAGGAGCGAAAGCGUGGGGAGCGAACAGG
RNAcentral lists this ribosomal RNA (256 nucleotides) under uncultured bacterium. RNAcentral's name for it is "partial 16S ribosomal RNA". It matches the Rfam family "Bacterial small subunit ribosomal RNA", at positions 524 to 776 of the family's 1533-position model. The record is from RNAcentral.